RNAcentral lists this ribosomal RNA (475 nucleotides) under uncultured bacterium. RNAcentral describes it as "partial 16S ribosomal RNA". It matches the Rfam family "Bacterial small subunit ribosomal RNA", at positions 28 to 523 of the family's 1533-position model. The record is from RNAcentral.
GACGAACGCUGGCGGCGUGCUUAACACAUGCAAGUCGAACGGUAAGGCCCUUCGGGGUACACGAGUGGCGAACGGGUGAGUAACACGUGGGUGAUCUGCCCUGCACUUCGGGAUAAGCCUGGGAAACUGGGUCUAAUACCGGAUAGGACCACUGCCUGCAUGGGUGGUGGAAAGCUUUAGCGGUGUGGGAUGGGCCCGCGGCCUAUCAGCUUGUUGGUGGGGUGAUGGCCUACCAAGGCGACGACGGGUAGCCGGCCUGAGAGGGUGACCGGCCACACUGGGACUGAGAUACGGCCCAGACUCCUACGGGAGGCAGCAGUGGGGAAUAUUGCACAAUGGGCGCAAGCCUGAUGCAGCGACGCCGCGUGAGGGAUGACGGCCUUCGGGUUGUAAACCUCUUUCAGCACCGACGAAGCGCAAGUGACGGUAGGUGCAGAAGAAGGACCGGCCAACUACGUGCCAGCCGCCGCGGUAA